RNAcentral lists this long non-coding RNA (432 nucleotides) under Gadus morhua (Atlantic cod). Its description in RNAcentral is "lncRNA (ENSGMOG00000034691.1)". The record is from RNAcentral. Lineage: Eukaryota; Metazoa; Chordata; Actinopteri; Gadiformes; Gadidae.
CUUCUAUUGACAGGUUGAUAACUCAGAUAUUAUAAUUUACAUGAUAUCUGAUUGCAUUAGUAAUAAUAAAAAUCACCCACAACGUUUCCAUACAAUCUGACUUCACGGCGUUGCCUCACCGCAGUUAUAGGUCUUGUUGUCGGCUAUGCAAUUCUGAGUUUUUUCCCAGACAGAAAUUGGGGAAUGCUGCACUCUGUGUCGCAUUGCAGUGAGUUCCCAUGACGAUGCUGGAAACGGCCAACACAAUAGAAUGUCAGCAAAACAGAUGUUUCCAGUGCAGAGCACAUGUUGCCCCUGUCAGAGGUGUAACCGUGGCACCCAAGUCCGUAUGACAGACCUUACGAACACCUGAUGACAUCAUCAUCAUCAUGAUCAUAGUCAUCAUCAUCUCCAUCGCCAUCAUCAUCAAACUGUAGCCCUUCCCUGGGUCAG